This is a long non-coding RNA of Pungitius pungitius (ninespine stickleback), 1202 nucleotides long. RefSeq lists it as uncharacterized. The transcript has 3 exons. NCBI's taxonomy places the organism in Eukaryota, Metazoa, Chordata, Actinopteri, Perciformes, Gasterosteidae. The record is from RefSeq and is a predicted model, not a curated record.
GAAUGCAGCUGUUGUAUUCUAUGAAGUUAUUAUGUUUAUAGAUCUUUCAGCACCAGGAAUCCUGGAUAAGUUUGUCUGGUCUCAAGCACACACAGGACAAGUUAAAGGGAGCCUGUGGAGAAGAAAGUAAAGAGGGAAAGAGGAGAAAUAAACAGAAGAGCGAUUCGUCGUUCCAGAUGGACACACACAGCAGCGCGUGGCUUGGUUGGGAUGCUGCUGUGUGUCAAAGAUCGAGGUGGAACUUGGGCAUUUGAAUAAGGAUAUCCGCCUGCUGCAGUGUGUGUUGCUCAAGAACACAAGCAUGACAUGGAUCUGUGUGCUUAAAAGGUUAAGAGAAUAUGUUGUUGUGAGGAUCAUGUAUGACCUGUACUUAUUAUUCUGUAUAUGGUUGAAUAGCUGAGAAAACGUUGCAGUAAUUAGAAACAAAAAUAACAUUAUUGCCUAUAUUCAAUAACUGCCCUUUAGCGCUAUUCUGACCUACAAUGCUCCACCUCCAUUUGAUGGUGCCUGUCUUGUUUCGUACUCGCUCCCUUUUUCUUUUUCUACAACUAGUUUUCUACUGUCUAUAAAUCUGAUUUUCUGCUGUGCAAACUUAUCUCACUAUUCAUUUCAGUCGGUCUGUCUUUUACUGCCUGUGGCCCAGUUUUCAUCGCAGCUUAGAGACAGUUGUUGAAUACUUUUUUAUUGUUUUGCCAAAAGGUGCCUAUAAAAUUCCUGACUCUUUGGGAAAAGGACACGGAAGUCAGAACAUACAGUAUUUGAAAGAGAUUUUAGCUUAUCCACCUCAACAAAAAAACAAAAAACAGGUACCUAAGUAGUCUUUGGCUUUGUAUUUGUAUCCUGGUGUAUCCCAGACACGGGUCAAAUGUAAGAUAAUGUAAUAGAACAUACUGUCGAUAGUUAAUUCAGUAUUGUUCAAGGACAUUCAAUAAGUUAAUCACGUAACAACAGUUCGAAAUGAACUACUGCAGCGCAAAAUACAUCUUCAGCAGCACAAAGCCAGAGCAGCAGGGGGUCUGGUUUAAUAAGAAUUCCUAAUGAUCAAGGUAAACACAACUUUAACUACUACAUUAAUUAAGGGCACUGUCUUGACAUUCUCUGAAUGGAAAUCUUUAUCCACACUUGUAUGCAAUUACAUCCUCCCUGCAUGUUUUAAUUCAAAAUGUAAAUAAAUGCAUCAUUCAUAUUCUAUAAAAAAAAAU